CAGUCGCCGCGGUAAUACGUAGGUGGCAAGCGUUGUCCGGAAUUAUUGGGCGUAAAGGGCUCGUAGGCGGUUUCUUAAGUCUGAUGUGAAAGCCCCCGGCUCAACCGGGGAGGGUCAUUGGAAACUGUUAAACUUGAGUGCAGGAGAGAAAAGUGGAAUUCCUAGUGUAGCGGUGAAAUGCGUAGAGAUUAGGAGGAACACCAGUGGCGAAGGCGGCUUUUUGGCCUGUAACUGACACUGAGGCGCGAAAGCGUGGGGAGCAAACAGGAUUAGAUACCCCCGUAGUCCCUGUCUCUUAUAC
This 301-nucleotide ribosomal RNA is filed under the name uncultured bacterium. RNAcentral's name for it is "partial 16S ribosomal RNA". It matches the Rfam family "Bacterial small subunit ribosomal RNA", at positions 509 to 807 of the family's 1533-position model. The record is from RNAcentral.